Papaver somniferum (opium poppy) is the source of this 2016-nucleotide long non-coding RNA. RefSeq lists it as uncharacterized. Lineage: Eukaryota; Viridiplantae; Streptophyta; Magnoliopsida; Ranunculales; Papaveraceae. The record is from RefSeq and is a predicted model, not a curated record. The transcript has 3 exons.
UUCAUUCUUCUUUUCACUUCUUCUUUCUUCCUCUCUGCCUCCUGUUCUUCUCUGCUCGUGUUCUGUGAGAAGAGUUUGUGAAAUAUAAGAGAAACUUAAUGGAAAACAUGGCGAGUUGGUCGUUGGUGAUGAUGUUAUGUUUGUUUGAGCACGGGAUGAAGAUGGUAGAGUUUUUACUGUCAAUUGAAGAUGUGAUUCUUGAAGUUAGGGUUUGAGUGGAAUUGAGAUGUAAAUCGUGUUUCUGAUAGAUAAAUAGGAAGAGGGUUGUUGUUAAUUGCUGUUAUUGAGUGGUUUCGAUGGUUGAAUCAAAGUUAGGGUUCUGUGAGUUGAAGAUGAUGAUUUGAUUGAAUGAAAUAACAGGAAAUUAAGGAUGGGUUUUAGGAACAGAUCAUGAAGAAGAAGUUUGUUGUGUUAUUUGGGAAUUCGAUAGGAGAAAUUGAAGAAUUAGGGUUCAUGUGUUCUUCCCCAAAGUGGUUUUAGGGUUUCAGUAGAAUUGGAUUGGGGGAAAAGCAAUUCAGUGGAUGCUGAUACUUGGGUAAGUCUUUAAAUUGAUUUAGUUCUAGUAUUUUAAUUUGGAUGGCUUUAAUUAUUGAGAUUGGGUGAUUAUGAAUGAAUAUGAGUUUUAGAUGAUUUAGGUUGAAGAUGUGGUUGUAGUUUAAUUUAUAAUUGAUUAACAAAGUAUUGUUGAUAUAAAAAAGACUCAGGGAGUUGAUGUUCUUAAAUAUUUGAUUCAGAUGAGUUUACUGUGAAAUGUGAAGUUAUGAAUCACUGGUAGUGAAUGUAAAUUGGUAUGUGUUGGGCUGGUGCAAGGAUAAUCUGAUGAGGGUCACAGUUAGAUGAAUGUGUAGACUGCUUCUGUAAUUCAGGGUUAGGCUUAUAUCUUGAAUUGCAGUUAAUGAAUUUGGUGAAGUAUGAAUGAGCUGAAGUGGUAUUGGUGUUUAUGAAUGUAUUGUCUGGAUAAAAGUGUAGGUAGGAUAAAUGAGUGUAAAUUGAACUGGUGUUUCAGGUUAUCGUGGUGAUGUUUGUCGAAUGGUAAUGGUGACAGGAACUGAAAUGAAAAUACUAGAUUAAGUUACAGAGUUGCAGAUACUAUCAAGAGGUGGUGGUAGUUUAUGUAUGUAUGCUUGCAGGGGUGUAAUGAUUGUUGCAGGACGUGAAUGUUCCUUGGUUGUGUCUGAAGUUGUAGGGAUGCAGUUAUAACUAAUGGAACUGGUGAAGUGAAUUAGAUACGUGAAUGUUCCUUGCAGCUAUGGGGUAAUUGGUUGUUUGGCAAGACUCAAGAGUGAGUUAUAGUUGUUUACUGGAACUGAGAUAUGUGGUGAUUGAGUUAAGUUUAGCUGUGUUGGUGCUGUAAUAUACAGGUGAAGGUUGAGUUGUUGUGGAUGUUAGUUUUCGUAAGUGAUUUACAAGGGAAAUGAACUGUUAGUGCUGGUAAGCUCAGGUGUAGGGGUUGCUGGAACUGGAACUGUGGUUAAUGGAUGGUUAUGAUCUCAACUGAAGUGCAGAUGGAGUCUUAAGGUUAUGGUGUAGUUGAAAUGAAAAUGAUGAGGGAGCUGAGGUUAGGUUUAGGCUAGAUGGACAAAAUGGUUGCAAAUGAAGUUACUUUUGAAUUGAGAUUUGAAGUAAUGAAACUGAAGUUGUAGUUGUAACUUAGUUAUAUUAUAUCUAGAAUUGCAGAGAAGUGGUUUUAGGGAAUCUGGUGGUGUUAUUGGUGCAGAUGAAGCGAGAUGAGUUGUAGAUGGAAUUGAGUCACUGUCGAUGGGUUGAGAUGAUGGUUGUUUGUGUGUUGAGAUGGAAGAUAUUGUGCUGUGAAUGCUGAAAUGGAUGUUGGUAUGAGUAGUGUAGGAUUAUAGUUGUGAGUUCAGUAAAAGCUUAAAGCUGCAACUGCAGUUAGUCGUUAUUAACAACGGUCGAUUCGAAGAGUGAACCAGUGGAUCGUGGAUCUCGAGAUAGGCGUGGCUUGUCAUCAAAAAAGUUUUCAGAGACAGAGCAGAGUUGCGCAGCGAAAGCCACAAG